UGGGGAAUAUUGCGCAAUGGCCGAAAGGCUGACGCAGCGACGCCGCGUGCGGGAGGACGCCCUUCGGGGUGUAAACCGCUGUCAGGGGGGAAGAAACCCGUUCACGGGAAUAUCGUGGGCGAUUGACGGUACCCCCAGAGGAAGCACCGGCUAACUCCGUGCCAGCAGCCGCGGUAAUACGGAGGGUGCAAGCGUUGUUCGGAAUUACUGGGCGUAAAGCGCGGGCAGGCGGUCCGUUAAGUCCCCUGUGAAACUCCGAGGCUCAACUUCGGACAUGCAGGAGAUACUGGCGGACUAGAGAUCGGUAGAGGCAGGCGGAAUUCCUGGUGUAGCGGUGGAAUGCGUAGAUAUCAGGAAGAACACCUGUGGCGAAGGCGGCCUGCUGGGCCGAUUCUGACGCUGAUCCGCGAAAGCGUGGGGAGCAAACAGGAUUAGAUACCCCCGUAGUCC
Molecule: ribosomal RNA, 450 nt
Filed under: uncultured prokaryote
Description: bacterial SSU rRNA
Rfam family: Bacterial small subunit ribosomal RNA
Source: RNAcentral